RNAcentral lists this transfer RNA (72 nucleotides) under Methanobacteriota archaeon. RNAcentral's name for it is "Euryarchaeota archaeon tRNA-Ala". It matches the Rfam family "tRNA". From Rfam's summary of the family: Transfer RNA (tRNA) molecules are approximately 80 nucleotides in length. Their secondary structure includes four short double-helical elements and three loops (D, anti-codon, and T loops). Lineage: Archaea; Methanobacteriati; Methanobacteriota. The record is from RNAcentral.
GGGCAAGUACAUCAGUGGUAGAUGGCUCCGUUCGCAUCGGAGAGGCCGGGGGUUCAAUUCCCCCCUUGUCCA